CGGGUGAGUAAUGCGUGACCAACCUGCCCCAUGCUCCAGAAUAGCUCUUGGAAACGGGUGGUAAUGCUGGAUGCUCCAACUUGACGCAUGUCUUGCUGGGAAAGUGUUUAGUGGCAUGGGAUGGGGUCGCGUCCUAUCAGCUUGUAGGCGGGGUAAUGGCCCACCUAGGCUUCGACGGGUAACCGGCCUGAGAGGGCGGACGGCCACAUUGGGACUGAGAUACGGCCCAGACUCCUACGGGAGGCAGCAGCU
This 252-nucleotide ribosomal RNA is filed under the name uncultured Gardnerella sp. Its description in RNAcentral is "partial 16S ribosomal RNA". It matches the Rfam family "Bacterial small subunit ribosomal RNA", at positions 103 to 355 of the family's 1533-position model. The record is from RNAcentral. Lineage: Bacteria; Bacillati; Actinomycetota; Actinomycetes; Bifidobacteriales; Bifidobacteriaceae.